GCCGUUUCAAUCAAAUGCGAUGAAUGGUCACACAAAAUCAGUGUUUGACUGUAUUAUAAGUUCCUUACAAAACCAUGAACUGUUUGUAACAGAGAAGAACAUCAAUUUGAGUAUUUAACCUGUUGGUAGUAUUUGGGUAUAGAAUAGAAUAGUAUUUGGGUAUAGAAUAGAGUUGUAUAGAGUAGAGUAGUAUUUGGGUAUAGGAUAGAGUAGUAUUUGAGGGUACUGUGUAAAAUCAGUGGUUUAAAACAGGAUCUUUGAUAAAAUAGAAUGAAUAAAACACAGUACAGCAUUGUAAUGAUUUCCCUUCUGCCACCCCAUAUAAUUGGGCUAAAACAUGUAAGGGUGGCUAGAAAUAUACCACAUACUACUACAUAUAAUACCACAAAUAAUACUACAGUUACCUUAUUUGGAAGAACUGAAGUGGAAAUGGCUUAAUAUGGAAGCUGAGUGGUUUGAUGGUGAGAUAUGACGUAAUGAAAUGUGCACUCUGGUCAAGUAGUAUGUUGUUAUGGUAUGUCAGGCAUCCCUUGCACGAAAUGGUUCAGUCCGCCUUCCCCUGCUAGGCGCAUUUUUGAAGUAACGUUCAUUCUGCCGAAGCGGCAAUGCAGACUUUCACGGUGUGAAGAUGUCUAAAUCUAAGAAAGCUAAAUCCGGUUCCCAGAAAAGGAAAGAGAGGCAAGAAAGGGAGAAAAAAAUAAAUGAGGGAAAACAAGUGUUAACAGCCUUCUUUCCCAAGAAAGGUGAGCCCAAUGUGAAAGCAAUAGUCUACAAAUGAAAUGAACUCCUGAAGGUUACAAAACACUUCAAUACCACCGCGAAUCCGCGAUUAUCAGUGCUAAAACAGCAUUAACACAAAAUUAGAAAUAACAUGAUGCCUGAUUUAUAGCCUACCACAACAUUUCAAUAGCCUACUAAUUCGAAAAUUAUUAUGAGCUAAUAGCUUAACUUAGUAGGCUCAAUGUUAUAUAGGUUCAUGAGGAAAGGCUGUCAAAUUAGUAGCAAAGCUAACUUGUGAAACGCAUCACACUCAGUUAGCUAUAGAUAGCUAUAGCUGUUCUCUCAGCCAAAAGUGUUUUCAUUCAUUUCAUGUUCUAGCUUUUAAACAUUCUUCAAAUAAAACAGAAAUUCAGUGAA
Long non-coding RNA from Alosa sapidissima (American shad), 1137 nucleotides. RefSeq lists it as uncharacterized. Lineage: Eukaryota; Metazoa; Chordata; Actinopteri; Clupeiformes; Clupeidae. The transcript is spliced from 2 exons. The record is from RefSeq and is a predicted model, not a curated record.